RNAcentral lists this unclassified non-coding RNA (140 nucleotides) under uncultured fungus. RNAcentral's name for it is "sequence contains ITS1". The record is from RNAcentral. Lineage: Eukaryota; Fungi.
CAAAAUCGUGGGGUGAGAGGGGGGAGGGAGGGGGGUUUUGGUCUUGAGUUAUUAAGCUAAGCCUCCCGCCUGCCUGCUUCCACUCUUUACAUUUGCGCUUGUAUUGUUUGACAAAGUAGCACCAUAUAUGACUAAAAUGA